This 440-nucleotide ribosomal RNA is filed under the name uncultured bacterium. RNAcentral's name for it is "partial 16S ribosomal RNA". It matches the Rfam family "Bacterial small subunit ribosomal RNA", at positions 338 to 795 of the family's 1533-position model. The record is from RNAcentral.
CCUACGGGUGGCAGCAGUGGGGGAUAUUGCACAAUGGGGGAAACCCUGAUGCAGCGACGCCGCGUGUAGGAAGACGGUCCUCUGGAUUGUAAACUACUGUCCCCAGGGACGAAGAUGACGGUACCUGGGGUGGAAGCUCCGGCUAACUACGUGCCAGCAGCCGCGGUAAUACGUAGGGAGCGAGGGUUGUCCGGAAUUACUGGGGGUAAGGGGAGCGUAGGCGGGGAUGCAAGUUGGGUGUUAAAUCUACCGGCUCAACUGGUAGUCGCACUCAAAACUGCAGCCUUUGAGUGAAGUAGAGGCAGGCGGAAUUCCUAGUGUAGCGGUGAAAUGCGUAGAUAUUAGGAGGAACACCAGUGGCGAAGGCGGCCUGCUGGGCUUUUACUGACGCUGAGGCUCGAAAGUGUGGGGAGCAAACAGGAUUAGAUACCCCUGUAGUC